RNAcentral lists this ribosomal RNA (606 nucleotides) under uncultured bacterium. RNAcentral's name for it is "bacterial SSU rRNA". It matches the Rfam family "Bacterial small subunit ribosomal RNA", at positions 338 to 950 of the family's 1533-position model. The record is from RNAcentral.
CCUACGGGAGGCAGCAGUAGGGAAUAUUGGGCAAUGGGCGAAAGCCUGACCCAGCCACGCCGCGUGCAGGAAGGCGGCCCUCUGGGUUGUAAACUGCUUUUAACUGGGAAGAAAGAAGCCCAUGCGUGGGAAGUUGACGGUACCAGUUGAAUAAGCCACGGCUAACUACGUGCCAGCAGCCGCGGUAAUACGUAGGUGGCAAGCGUUAUCCGGAUUUAUUGGGUUUAAAGGGUGCGUAGGCGGUUUAAUAAGUCAGUGGUUAAAGGUAGCAGCUUAACUGUUUUACAUGCCACUGAUACUGUUGAACUUGAGUUGACAGAAGGCAGAUAGAAUUUCUGGUGUAGCGGUGAAAUGCUUAGAUACCAGAAGGAAUACCGAUUGCGAAGGCAGUCUGCUGCAGUCACACUGACGCUGAGGCACGAAAGUGCGGGGAUCAAACAGGAUUAGAUACCCUGGUAGUCCGCACAGUAAACGAUGAUUACUAGAUGUUGGCCAAGCCAGUGUCCAAGGGAAACCGAUAAGUAAUCCACCUGGGGAGUACGCCGGCAACGGUGAAACUCAAAUGAAUUGACGGCUGAGACCGNGCGAGACGACACGAGGGAGAGG